Homo sapiens (human) is the source of this 14567-nucleotide long non-coding RNA. RefSeq lists it as uncharacterized. The record is from RefSeq and is a predicted model, not a curated record. NCBI's taxonomy places the organism in Eukaryota, Metazoa, Chordata, Mammalia, Primates, Hominidae. The transcript has 3 exons.
AAGGGAUCAAUAAAAUUGUUAAAUCUCUGGCCAGACUAUGGAGAAAAUAAUAGGAAAUAAAUAAUUUACAAAUUUUAAGAAUGACAGAAGUGGCUGGGGUUGGUGGCUCAUGCCUGUGAUCCCAGCACUUUGGGAGGCCGAGGCAGGCGGAUCGUUUGAGGUCAGGAGUUCCAGACCAGCCUGGCCAACAUAGUGAAGCCCUGUCUCUACUAAAAAUACAAAAAUUAGCUGAGCGUGAUGGCGCAUGCCUGUAUUCCCAGCUACUCGGGAGGCUGAGGCACAAGAAUUGCUUGAAGCUGGGAGGUGGAAUUUGCAGUGAGUAGAGAUGAGGCCACUGCACUCAAGCCCGGGCGACAGAACGGGACUCUGUCUCAAAACAAAUAAACAACAAAAAAAGAAUGAUAGAAGUAACAUUUCCAUUGUCCUACAACAGUUUAAGGAUAACUAAAUGAAUACCAUGAUGAAAUUUAUAAAUGUAAAUUAGUUAAUUUAGAUUAAGUGUAUAAAUCCCUCAAAAGAUACAAACUAAGGCAAACUCAAAAAGAAAGCAAUAAAAUGCACAUCCCUAUAUAUCUGUUUUAAAUUUAUUAAUACCCACCUAGAUAAACGAACUGACAAAUUUUACUAAUAUUUAAGGAGAUAUAAUUUAUACAUUACACAAAAGUUUAAGAAAUAAAAAAGAGGAAACACUUUUCUUUUUUUUUUUAAUAAGAGGUUGCUUUGUACUUUUUUUUUUAUUAUACUUUAAGUUUUAGGGUACAUGUGCACAUUGUGCAGGUUAGUUACAUAUGUAUACAUGUGCCAUGCUGGUGCGCUGCACCCACUAACUCGUCAUCUAGAAUUAGGUUUAUCUCCCAAUGCUAUCCCUCCCCACUCCCCCCACCCCACAACAGUCCCCAGAGUGUGAUAUUCCCCUUCCUGUGUCCAUGUGAUCUCAUUGUUCAAUUCCCACCUAUGAGUGAGAAUAUGCGGUGUUUGGUUUUUUGUUCUUGCGAUAGUUUACUGAGAAUGAUGAUUUCUAAUUUCAUCCAUGUUCCUACAAAGGACAUGAACUCAUCAUUUUUUAUGGCUGCAUAGUAUUCCAUGGUGUAUAUGUGUCACAUUUUCUUAAUCCAGUCUAUCAUUGUUGGACAUUUGGGUUGGUUCCAAGUCUUUGCUAUUGUGAAUAAUGCCGCAAUAAACAUACAUGUGCAUGUGUCUUUAUAGCAGCAUGAUUUAUAGUCCUUUGGGUAUAUACCCAGUAAUGGGAUGGCUGGGUCAAAUGGCAUUUCCAGUUCUAGAUCCCUGAGGAAUCGCCACACUGACUUCCACAAUGGUUGAACUAGUUUACAGUCCCACCAACAGUGUAAAAGUGUUCCUAUUUCUCCACAUCCUCUCCAGCACCUGUUGUUUCCUGACUUUUUAAUGAUCGCCAUUCUAACUGGUGUGAGAUGGUAUCUCAUUGUGGUUUUGAUUUGCAUUUCUCUGAUGGCCAGUGAUGAUGAGCAUUUGGUACAAGGAGGAACUGGUACCAUUCCUUCUGAAACUAUUCCAAUCAAUAGAAAAAGAGGGAAUCCUCCCUAACUCUUUUUAUGAGGCCAGCAUCAUUCUGAUACCAAAGCUGGGCAGAGACCCAACAAAAAAAGAGAAUUUUAGACCAAUAUCCUUGAUGAACAUUGAUGCAAAAAUCCUCAAUAAAAUACUGGCAAAACGAAUCCAGCAGCACAUCAGAAAGCUUAUUCACCAUGAUCAAGUGGGCUUCAUCCCUGGGAUGCAAGGCUGGUUCAAUAUACACAAAGCAAUAAAUGUAAUCCAGCAUAUAAACAGAGCCAAAGACAAAAACCACAUGAUUAUCUCAAUAGAUGCAGAAAAAGCCUUUGACAAAAUUCAACAACCCUUCAUGCUAAAAACUCUCAAUAAAUUAGGUAUUGAUGGGACGUAUUUCAAAAUAAUAAGAGGAAACACUUUUCAACAUGUUUUAUGAGUCUACCGUUAUCCCCAUACCAAAACCAUAAAACAGACAUUACAAGAAAAUGUCCUGUAGACAAAUAUGUAUUUUGAUGAUGAAUUUAGAUUUCAAAAACUUCAGCAAAAUAUUAUCCAAUUAAAUCCUCUCAUGUCUGUGUGUGUGUGUGUGUGCAUGCACGUGUGUUUGUAAAAUAUAUCAUUACUAAUUGGCGUUUAUCUUGGGAGUUCAAGAUGGUUUCCAUAUUCAAUCAACCCAUCAAUGUGGACUAUGGUCACUUGAAAAGACCAGCAAAUCCUCUGCACAAAAGGCCACUAGAAAUUCAUUAAAGCAGCCUUCCAUCAUUCUCGAAAUUGACCAAAGCAUUCAACUACCUGAGAAAUAUUUAUGUUUGGAAAGCUAUUGAAAUGCAAUUAAAAAUAUCAGGAAACCUGUUUUUACCUUUUGUCCUAAUCUUGCUAAAUCCUUCUUAAUUUUAGGAGACACUGCUUCUCCUUCCACUGUUCUUUUACUUUCUCCUUCCCCUUUGUUUUUGCCUCCCCCUUCCUCUCCCUUUUCUACAUUCCUUCUCUCUCCUAAAUGCUGUAUAAAUUUCUACAUAUGUAAUCAUAUUAUUUACAAAUAGGAACAGUUUUACUUAUUUCUUUCCAGUCUGCAUUUAUUUUAUUCUUCCUUUUUUUCCUUACACACUGGAUAGAACUCUAAGUAUUAUGUUGAAAAAGAGUGAUAAAAGCAAACAUCUUUGCUUUAUUCCUGAGCAUACAUGUGGAAAACAUUCAGUGUUUCACAGCUAAAUAUGAUGGAUUUUUUGUAUGCUCUUUAUCAAGAUGAAGGAAUUUUCUGCUAUUUCUGGUUUGCUGAAUUUUUAUCACAAGUAACUGUUGAAUAGUGUCUUUUUCCCCUGCAUUUAUUGAACUGAUCAUGCAUUCUCCUAUUUUAGAAUAUUAAUAUGAUGAACUAUAUUAUUAGAUUUUUUAAAAUAUUGCAACUGUCUUGCAUUUCUGGAAUAAACAUGGCUUGGUCAUGUGUCACUUUUUUACAUAGUGUCGUAUUCAAGUUGUCGAGGAUUUUGCAUCUAGGGUAUAUUUGUAGAUUUGCAUCUAGGUUAUGUUGGUCUAAAGUUUUGUUUGUUUGUUUUCCUUUUCUUUUUUUUUAUCAUCUUUGUCUUCUUCUGUUUAAGUGUCAUGCUUGCUUCAUAAAAUGAAUUGAGAAGCAUUUCUUCCUCUUCUGUUUCUCGAAAAUUGUAGAGAACUCUUGUUUUUUGUUGUUGUUUGUUUGUUGUUUUGUUUUUUCUUAUUUUUAUCCUCAUACUGAGAACCAAACAGUCUGGAGUGUAAAACAUGGUUCCUCAUUCCAGUUAAAUCUAGUAUACAAUGACAACAACCCUCUUGGGUUAAGCAUUGGCCUACAAACAGAAAAAAACCUUCAGGGAGAUAGAUGCUGAUCUAGGCAUUGUGAGAAAAGCUGAAUUCAUUUUUAAUCAUGAAUGGCUUUUAAGGAAAGAAGAUUUAUUAACUAAAAUAAAUAGAUUAGAGGGAAUUCUCACCUAUGAGAGAGGAAGGGAUGGGAUUCAACCUGGAAAAAGUAAUGAAGUUUUAGUGAACUUGGUAAGGUAGACUCAACAAUUAAUGAUGGAUAAUGCUAGGACCCAACACUGGUAAUGAGUUUGUAUUAUGACUCAAUAGCAUCACUUUAUCACUUUAACACAGAUGGAGGCCUAAAUAACCAUAGGGUAAUGGUUCUUCUUAGAUGCAGAAGGACACAUUUAUAUAAUCUUAGGGACCCCAUCUCUGAGGUCACUCAUAAUUUAUAUUAAUUCAUUGUUAUUGCCAUUGCCCCAAGAAUAGAUAAGGAUAAGACAUCCUGUAGUACAGGUAGCAGAGAUAUAAACUAUUCUUAUUCUUGUGUCUUGUCUAUAGGAAGGGAGUGUAUCCUGGUGUAAGACAGCAUAUAGUAGAGACCAUUGUCAAUUAGGGCCUGUGAACUAAGACAGGGUGACUGGCUAAGUCCACAACCCAUUAGAAACCCAGAAAUAAUCAAAUCAUGGUGAGUAGUAAUAACACUUAUUUAUAAUACUAUACGGUAUAAAGACAAGAACCAAUUAUGUUGAGUAGCUGUAACAAAUAGCUCUAUCAUUCGUAAUAACUUUUUCUGUAAUAAAACUGAAUUGUAACAUGAUCAUACUGCAAUAUGACAUUACACUAGCAUUGUUGGUAAGAUUCAACUAUCUUAUGUAGAGAAGUUAUAUAAUGCUUAUAUUGAUAAUCAAAUGUAUUAAGAUAUUGAGUUAAAGCCUCUUCAGAAUGUAAUCUGGGUGAAUAAUAAAUGGCCUGAGAAAACAGAAUUCAGCUAACCAUUAUCUAAUUUCAAUGCUAAAUAGUUCUGCACAGAUUUAUCAAAAAGUAAAAAUAAAAGCAGAUUGAGAGGAGGAAUGAAUAAUUUUGUUUGUACAAAAUAUUAAAGUGUAUGUAAUGGGCUUGUAGGAUGCAUUAGUAAUUUUUAAAAAUCAAUCUUUACCCUACACUGUGUCCAUAAAAUGCUAGGCAUAUUCAUGUUAAUAUUACUGUUGUUACUGUCAUAUAAAUGCCAUAUUCAAUGUAGAUGCUCAGAAAAAUAUGAUUGUUUUGCUACAGGAGAGAUUAGACCAGGGACAAUAAAUAUGGAUUAGGCAAGAAUGUGUUAACUCAGCAGCCCAGGGUUUUUUCAACCCUGCACAUUCAAAGGUAAGGUUUGUUUUUAGGACUAGCUAGCCUCUGAGUUCUGGAAAUAGUCUUACCGUGAAGAGUGUUUUUGUAUAUCUGAGGCCUUGGGUUUAUGGUGAAUGACUGACUUAUAUGCCUGAGGCCCUGAGCCAUGCUGUAUUUAUUUGAACCAUGUGGUAUCAAUUUAACCAGAUACGUUUAUUCUAAGAUAUGAUUUAUGCUGAAUGCCUGGUUUUGUUCUAGAGGGAUCAUGGAAAGGAAGCUGAAUUUGCCAAGUUUUGCCACUUGGGCAUUGCAUGCCUAUGUGAUUAACCACCAAUAAAAACCUGGGACAUCAAAGAAUAAAUAAGCUGCUCUAAUUGCCAAGAAUUCACAUGUGGUUGUAUGCAGCUUUACUGGGAGACUGAAGUGUAUCUGCAUGUGAUUCUGCUGUGAUGGACACUUGAUCUUGAGAUGACGUCAUACUGGAUGAUCCUAGUGCACCCUAAAUCCAAUAAGUGUUCUUAUGAAAGACAGAAGAGGAGAAGAUACAGGAAAUAGAAGAAGGCUACUUGAGGAUGGAAGCAGAGAUUGGAGUUAUGCAGCUACAAACCAAAGAAUGCCUUGAGCCACCAGCAGCUGAAAGAGCUAGUCAGCAAUACAACUGGGAUUUGAUAUCAGAUUCAUACGAUUCCGAAGACCCUGACCACCAAAUGCAAAAGGUACAUGGCAACAGCUGAUUGCAAUGAGAGAAAAACAACUAAUAAGGCAACAAGCAGGAUACUAAGAUAUUUUCCAAAAUGAAUAGCACUGAUUCUGUGAGGAAUGAACAUUGCCAAACAAGUGUUUUGUUUUGUUUUUCAACUCCUCUAAAAAAAUUCACAUAUAUGCAUGCCACUUUCCUGAAAAAUAUCUGCCUCAUAAUUGCCAUAAGAAACGGUAUGGACAACUCUUAAACAUUCUGAAAGUAGUCAGGGAUGGGGGAAAGCAUUUGCUGUUUUAGUCUGUUCCUGGUCUUAUAACAAAUACCACAAACUGGGUAAUUUAUGAUUACAGAAAUGUAUUUCUGAAAGUUCAGGAGUUGGGAAGUUCAAGAUUAUGGCACCAACAUAUUCAUUGUCUGAUGAGGGCCUGUUUCACAGAUGUCAUUUUGCAUGACUUAAUCACAUGGUAGGAAAAGCAAAGGGACAAAAUGGACAAAUGCCAUGUUGUCACAUGGCAGAAGAAAUGGAAGAGCCAGGAAGCUCUCAGAAGCUUCCUUAAUUAGGAUAUUAAUCUCAUUCAUGAGUGCAUAGCCAUCAUGACUUAAUUGCCUCCAAAGGCCCCACUUCCUCAUCACUUUGAGGAUUAAACUUAAACAUGAAUUUGGAGGAAAUAUAUCCAAACUCUAGGACUAGUUUAAAUGUAGCUAAAAAGGUUUCUUCAUUCUGUAAUCGUUAAUAUGCUAAUAUUUUUGUAAAUAUCCAAGAGGAAGCUAAAGCAUAUAAUAUUCCAAAAUUUAUUUCUGUUUGUGGAUAUUAUGUUUUCCUCUCAUUCUAUCUUAAGAAAUUAGUGUCCUCAAGAAACACUAUAUAGGAUAAUUGUCUUUCAAGUUCAUCAACUACCAGUUCUUGAUUCUUCAGUAGCUAAUCCUAGAUAGUAAUACUUAACAGAUUAUAAAAACUUGGGUGCUGCUAUAUAAAUGCGCUGAAACUCCCAGGGAACCAAACAUAAGGACUUAAAGAGAGAUGUAACUAGGGAUCAUAAUCAUGAAUUUCAGCUGCUUCUCUAUCUUUGUCAGUGAGCAAAUGACCAUACAAAAUAAGGUAUUCAAUUAUUAAUUCUGUGCCCAUAUCCCGGAAUUUUGCCCAAUAUAUUUGUAAGUUUAGAUAAAUAAGGCACUAAUGCCAGGGAUAUGUAGCAUUAGUUCUGGGUUUAUAAAGGGAUAUUCACAACCUCUUGCCAUCCACAGAAUUUAUCAGCCCAAAGUAAACUAUACUCGUUGGUUAAGGGCAACCUGAGACAUGUUUAAAACUGAGGUGGACUGAAGAGUCAACUAAUUGCAGGAAUCUUUUAUUUGGUUGAAAUGUUCAAACAAGUCCCACUCUGAAUUCUAUUAGAAGUCCAUCAUUGGCUUCUCUCUCUUUCUCACUGUCUUAAAUCAUGUAUUUUAUAACACUAUGAAGAAUGAAGUUCAAAAGAAUAAGCUAAAUUUAAUUAAUUAAAUUAUUUAUUUAUUUAUUUUGAGACAGAGUCUCACUCUGUCACCCAGGCCAGAGUUCAGUUGCACGAUCUUGGCUCAGUGCAUCCUUCACCUCCUGGGCUCAAGAGAUCCUCCUGAAGCAGGGCAUUUCCCUGACCCCUUCAUGGGACUCGUGACAGGGGUGCCCCAUUUACUCAGCCCACUGCUCUCAACUCCUCAAGGGAGGGAGUGCGCAAUUGAACAAGGCAGGAACUGGAGUACACGAGUGCUGGAACCAGUGGCCUCUUUGGUGCCAGAAGGAGUGAACUCACCCACUCUGACCUGCUGUGUUCCACCUCUUGCAGGAGAGAGCAUGCAGGUGAGCAGGUACAGGAGCCAGGAAGAGAGCUUUGGGGUGUUGGCAGGAGCAAACUCCAUGUGGGCCCCAUAGCAGCCCCUGGGGUUAGGGGGGUGCCUGUGAUUCCUGAAGCCCCAGUGGGCAUAUUACAGUGCUCCUUUAGCUCUGCCGUCUUCAGACAGCUGAAGUGUUAGCAGCUCAGCAUGCCUUUUUGUAUCCACACUCACUCCUGAGCUCUUGUUUGGCAUCCAGGAAAAAAUCAGCUCACAGAAACGAAUUGAAGGAUGGUAAAUGCAGAGGAUUUUAUUGCCAAGGAAAGUGGCUCUCAGCAGGAAGGGCAGCUGGGAAGGAGAUGUAGCAGGAAGGUUUCUGGCUGGACUCUUCUCCAAAGUUGCACUGUCAAGCUGUCUCUCUGAAAUCAAGCUGCUUCUCUCCAACGUCCAACCGUAGUCUCUGAUGCCCAGCUGCUGCUUCUCUUUUGAUGUUCAGCUGCUUCUCUUUUUUGCUAGCUGAGUCUGGGGUUUUUAUGGGCACAGGAUGGGGGACAGGGGAGGUCAUGGGUAAUUUUGUAAAAGGCAACAUUUGAGUGGGAAAACAGGAAUGUAUGUUCUCACUUUGGGCUUUGGUUCCAGGCUUGAGGGUGGAGCCGUUGCCAGGGACCUGCCCUCUUUUGCCCAGAAUUUCCCUGCCUCCCUUCCCUUUCACUCCCACCCCAUCACUCCCACCUCAACAUCCUGAGUAGCUGGGAUUAUAGGCGCACACCACCGCAUCUGAUUAAUAUUUAAAUUUUUUGUAGAGACAGGGUUUUGUCAUGUUGCCCAGGCCGGUCUCAAACCCUGGGCUCAAGUGAUUUGCCCACCUCAGCCUCCCAAAGUUCUGGGAUUACAGGUGUGAGCCAGUGUGCCUGGCCCUAAAUAAUAUUUAUAUGGGCAUUUUGUAAUUAUUAUUUUUUAAUAAUAUAAAUGUUUCCUUUUUAAUAUGAAUUUUUCAAGAGUUUUAUAAUUGACUGAUUAUUCAUUAAAAUUUAAUGAAGGACAGGAAUUGGCUAUUUUUCUGAAUGACAAAAAUUAGGAAAUUUUUAGAGAGAUGAUGAAUUUAUCCUAGAAUAUAUGGAAAGAGUAAAUCUUGUUAUAUAGAACAAGCAACUUUCCAAUCCGAAGGAUCUUAGAAUAAUAAAAAUUUUUUUUCUUAUAAUUGUUUUCUUAUAAUUGUUUCAAAGUAAUACUUUAGACCAAAAAUUGUAUAUCUCAGUAGGUGGCCUAUAUGAUAAUUAAAAAAUUAAAAGCUAAGUUAAUUAAAUUUUUAAUUAAUUUAAUUUUUAUUAAUUUUAAUUAUCAAUCUUCAUUGAAGAAUUUUGUCCAAAAAAUGUGGACAAUAUGUGUCAUAAGGAUUAAUCACCAUAAAAUAGUCCCCAAAGGAAAUUAAAGGACUGAUUAGAUAGUACUAAAAUAACAAUCAUACAAAGUAGAAAGUGGUGUUAUAAGAGAAAUGUAGAUAAAAUAUUGUAAGAAACUAAAGUAGGAAGAUAAUGUUUUGAGUUGUGGGAGAUCAGGGAAGGUUUUUUGGAAAAAGUAACGUUUAAGCUAGAUCUUAGAGAGACAUGACUUAAUAGAAAAGUAGGCAAAAAAAUAUGAAUAACCCUUUCAGAUUACAGGCAAUACAAAUUAUGAUAAAUAUAAAAAAAUUCUUACUUCACUAGUAAUCAAGUAAUUGAAUUAAACAAUUGGAUACCAUUUUUUCUUCAGCAGACUGGCAAAACAUAAGAUGUUAACAAGGGUUUUGAGGGUACAGGGAAGAGGGUAGGCUCAAACUAUGCUGGUAUCAAUGUAUAACCAAGAUCUCCUUUGGAGUACAAUUGUUAUAUAGUCUACAUUCUGUAAAAACUAAACACAUAUGUUUGCCUUUCCACUUUUGGAAAUACAUGGUAGAUAAUCAUGCAAGAAUGUCAAUUGCAGUAUUGUGUUGUAAUUUUUAAAAAUACUCUAGAUAUUCAUCAAUAUAUAACUACAAAUAAAAAUAGUUGGACUAUCAUGCAGACUACAAUGCCUCUAUUGUGGCAUAAUAGUUAAUAAUACAAUCUCUGAGAGCAGAAUAUCUGGAUUUGAAUAAUUUGCUCUCCCUCUAAAUGACCUUGAGCAAAGUACUUACAAUCUUUUUCUCUCUUCCAUAAAAUGGAGAUAACAGCAUUGCCAAUUUAUUAGCUUGUCAUGAUGAUUAAAUGAGAUAAUCCAUAUAUCACACCAAGUACCCACUACGUAAUAAGCAACUAAUUAAAUUUGACUAAUAUUAAUAAUUUCAUUAUUAUUCAUCUUAAUAUCAUGGCAUGACUUCUAAGGUAUAUUAUUAAAUAGAAAAAGAUAAGUUUUAAACUGAGCCAUAGUUUAGAACUUGACUUAAAGCAGACUCACAAAGCAAAUGCUCAUAUCUAGGACAGGUAAAUCUACACGUGUUUAUACACACAUUCACUGUAUUUGGGGAAAAUACACACCAAACUGGAAACACUGGUUGUCUCUGAAGAAGAGACAGGGCUUUGGCAAUAUUCAAAUUAGGCUUUAACUGUUUCUGAAAGUUUCAGUUCUCUAUAAGGAGAAGGUAUUACUUAUGUAAUUUUUAAAAAUUACAUAUUAAGUACUAAAUGACUGAAGCUUCUUAGAAUUGAUGGGUGCAGGCAUCACAUGGGCAGCAAGGCAUUCACAUAAUGGAGAAUCAUGGUCUCCUGUAGAUGUCUAGGAGUGAUAAAAUUAACUACCUUUUAGGUGGUGUAGUUUCCUGGUUGAGCUGAUAAUUAUUAAGUUAAUGAUUAGUAGGUUAUUUCUCAACACCGAAGAGAUUAUUAGUGUUUCAAAGUUUUCACUGUAAUUCAUCUGUAAAACCAUUCAACCUACCUCCAGUACACCUCAGUAAUCUGGUGACAAGAGAGUAUUCUUGCUCACUUUAUUUACUCUUCAGUGAUCUAAUGCCAAUAAUGCCAGCCUAUAGAAACAACAGCCAAUUAUAACAAAAAGCACAUUAGAAAGUCAAAUAUAGCUGGGUAAUAGACAUAAAAAUACCUUAUUAACAUUUUUAUAACACUCUGAACUGAAAUAAACAGACCACUCUCGAUUUUAGCAUCUGGUUCCAAACAAUUCUUGUUUGGGUGAUAACUUUUUAAAAACAAAUGUUGGGCAUCUUUCAUCGACUUUUCAUCAAGUAACAGCUGUUCCUUUAGAGCAAAAUGUAUGCAUGUUGGAAGUGUGACUGAUGCUCACUUCUGUUUUGUUCUGUGUGAGAAAGCUUUAUGUUGGGUGCAAUUCAGAAAACAAAUGGUUUCAAAUCUUUUGAAUAGAUGCCAUAGCACAGUUUAAAUGCAGCUUCUUGUGAUUUUUAGAAUAAUUUCAGCCACAAUUUUUACAUUCAAUUUAUAACUAUACUAAGACAUUCUCCUUCAGAACAAAGGCAUUUCUGUUUUCAUGUGCUCUUGGGCAUCUUCGGGUCAUUCAUUAUAUCAAUCAUUUAUCUUCGUAAAGCGUUUGGCUAUGAACAAUUACUUACUACACCAAAGCAUGAAAGAAAUAGAUAUAGCUCAUCUGCUCUUGAAUGCAUUUCUACAGAUUCCCUUAGGAUAAUUCCUGUUUCAACUUAAGCUAUUAAAUUUUUUGCUGCAUUCAAAUCACCUCAUCUGCUGAAACAUGUGGAGACAAAUAACCACAGACGUUUGCAUGAAGGUUCAGGUGUAUUUAAGGGCAGCUUAAUUAUAAGACACUAUGAAAUUCUCCUAAUUAAUUUGGAGCUAAAUAUUCUACAUCAAAUAUUUUACAAAACUUAAAGAAAUAUUUACUUUUCACAUGAUUACGAUUUUGAUACUAGGUUAAAAAUGACUUAUACUGGCAUUUUUUAAACAGUUUAAGACAAAUAAUGUUUUUGAUACUGUUUAUUAUAACAUAUGAAAAGUCUUUAUGCAGAUAUACUCUAUUUUAUCGUCUGUUCAUUUCAUGUUGCAUUUGCAUGCACUCCUGAAUUACUUGUUACUAAAACAUACAGAACAGACAGAAAGUUAAAAUUGGUUAAUUUCUAUCUAAUCUGGAUAAGAUAAACACAAUGAGUGAAAUAAAUAAUUAUGUCAAAUAACAAAAACCUCAUGCAUAGAAACUUCAACAUUUCUGAAUAACAAAAAGUAUAACAUUAUGUAGGGCAAUGUUCCACUUUUGUAUCAACUAGAAAUAAGCCCUGAAUCUGAAUGAUGAAAUUUUAAUAGUAACUGUUGACCACAGGGCAGAGUUUACUCUCUUGGUCAGAUGCUUUUGUGAAUGACACAAACUGUGUGUCCAGAUCACUUUUCCCUAUAAUCACUUCAAAUUACUUGACUUUUUGAUCUCUUCCUUUUUUCUGUCUCUUUUUUGUCCACAACAGAUAUUCCAAAUAUCCACCGAGUUUUCAAAUACUCCAGUCCAUAUUUGGUCUUCCCAUUCCUAGCAGAAGUACUUUGUCUUCUACUUCCCAGAAUAAUGUUAAUUCUCUUAUUUUAGACUUGCUUGCUUUAAUUUGUAUUUAUUCUUGGCUUUUUUUCUUUCCAUCUCACAGGAUAAGAGGGCAUCUCUUCUUCCAUAUUCAUAAAUACGUUGCCAACAGGAAUUUGUUGUUAUUUACACUUUCUUCUCCUAGACAUUUUAAUUUUACUUACCUUCCCUGAGCACAUGGCAAAGUCAAAACACAAGCAGAAUCUUACUUAUGAAUAGAGGCAGAUUUAUUAAGCCAGGGGUAGGCAAACUAUAGCCAAUGAGCCAAAGCCAGGCUGCCACGGGUUUUUAUAAAUAAAAUUUUAUAGGAACUCAGCCACAGACAUUCCUUUACAUAUUGCCUACAGCUGCUUAAGCACUACAAAGGCAAAGUUGCAUAUUUACAACACAAAUAAUAUGGCCUGCAAGCCUAAAGUAUCUACUAUCGUGCCCUUUAUAGAAAAUGUUUAUCAGCUUUUGUUCUCUUAUCCUAAGUUAUGAGGCUUACAUUUCCGGCCACCUCAUUUGCAUUUGAGUUUCCAGUUUUGAGUUUGUAGUUUUGCAUUCUUGCUUAAAGAGCCCCAAACCCUGACCGCCAAAUUGAAUGUGCUGUAGAUCCCACAAAAUAUGGAUCCAAUCAAGCUGAUGCCAUGUCAUUAUCUGUAGCUUUUAUUCUUUGCCAUCACACACCUUCCUUGAACAGUUAGGCUUCUGCAAAAAAUCUUAAAUAAUCACUGAUAUGGGUUGGUUCUGUGUCUUCACCCAAAUCUCAUCUUGUAGCUCCCAUAAUUUCCACGUGUUAUGGGAAGGAUCCAGUGGGAGAUGUCUGAAUCAUGAGGGCACGUAUGUCCCAUGCUGUUCCCAUGAUAGUGAAUGGAUCUCACGAGAUCUGAUGGUGUUAAAAAUGGGAGUUUCUCCACACAAUCUCUUUUUUGCCUGCUGCCAUCCAUGUAAGAUGUAGCUUACUCCUUGCCUUCCACCACGAUUAUGAUGCCUCUCCAGCCAUGUGGAACUGUAAGUCCAACAAACCACUUUCUUUCGUAAAUUGCCCAGUUGCAGGUAUGUUUUUAUCAGCAGCAUGAAAAUGAACUAAUACAGUAAAUUGUUACCAGUAGAGUGGGGUGCUGGUGGAAACAUAUCCAAAAAUAUGGAAACGACAUUGGAACUGUGUAACAAGCAGAGGUUGGAACAGUUUGGAGGACUCAGAAGAAGACAGGAAAAUGUGGCCAAGUUUGGAACUUCCUAGAGACUUGCUGAAUGGCUUUGAACAAAAUGCUGACAGUGAUAUGGACAAUGAAAUCCAGGCUGAAGUGGUCUCAGCUGGUGAUAAGGAACUUGUUGGGAACCGGAGUAAAGGUGAAUCUUGCUACAUUUUAGCAAAGACACUGGUGGCAUUUUGCCUGGCCCUAUAGAUUUGUAGAACUUUGAACUUGAGAGAGAUGAUUUAGGGUAUCUGGCAGAAGAAAUUUCUAAGCAGGAAAGCACUUAAAAUGUGAAUUCGGUGCUGUUGAGGGCGUUCAGUUUUAUAAGGGAAGCAGAGCAUAAAAAUUUGGAAAAUUUGCAGCCUGACAAUGCAAUAGAAAAGAAAAUCCCAUUUUCUGAGGAGAAAUCCAAGCCAGCUAUGGACAUUUGCAUAAGAUAAUGGGGAAAAUGUCUCCAGGACAUGUCAAAGGUCUUUACCUCAGCCUCUCCCAUCACAGGCACAGAGACCUAGGAGGAAGAAGUGGUUUUGUGGGCUGGGCCCAGGGUUCCUUUGCUGUGUGCAGCCUAGGGACUUCAUCCCCUGCAUCACAGCAACUCUAGCUAUGGCUGAAAGGGGACAACAUAGAGCUCAGGCUAUGGCUUCAGAGGGUGCAAGCCCCAAGCUUUGGCAUCUCCCAUGUGGUGUUGAGCCUACAAGUGCACAGAAGUCAAGAAUUGAGGUUUGGGAACCUCUGCCUAGAUUUCAGAAGAUGUAUGGAAACGCCUGAAUGCCGAGGCAGGAGUUUGCCACAUAGGUGGGGUCCUCAUGGAGAACCUCUGCUAGGGCAGUGCAGAAGGAAAAUGUGGGGAGGGAGCCCCCACACAGAAUCCCUACUGGGGCACCACCUAGUGGAGCUGUGAGAAGAGGGCCACCGUCUUCCAGACCCCAGAAGUGUAGAUCCACUGACAGCUUGCACUGUGUGCGUGGAAAAGCUGCAGACACUUAACACCAGCCCAUGAAGGCAGCCAGGAGGGAGACUGUACCCUGCAGAGCCAGAGGGGUGGAACUGCCCAAGACCAUGGGUAUCCACCUCUUGCCUCAGCGUGACCUAGAUGUGAGACAUGGAGUCAAAGGAGCUUUAGAUUUGACUGCCCUUCUGGAUUUCAGAAUUGCAUGGGGCUUGUAGCCUCUUUGUUUUGGCCAAUUUCUCCCAUUUGCAAUGGCUGCGUUUACCCAAUCCCUGUACCCCUAUAACCCCAUUGUAUCUAGGAAGUAACUAACUUGAUUUUGAUUUUGCAGGGUCAUAGGUGGAAGGGACUUGCCUUGUCUCAGAUGAAACUUUGGACUGUGGACUUUUGAGUUAAUGCUAAAAAGAGUUGACAUUUUGGGGGACUGUUGGGAAGGCAUGACUGGUUUUGAAACAUGCAGAUAUGAGAUUUGGGAGGGGCUGGAGUGAAAUGAUAUGGUUUGGCUCUGUGUCCCCAUCCAAAUCUCAUCUUCUAGCUCCCAUAAUUUCUGUAUGUAGUGGGAGGGACCUGAUGGGAGAAGACUGAAUCAUGGGGGCAGGUCUUUCCCAUGCUGUUCUCAUAAUAGUGAAUGGGUCUCACAAGAUCUAGUGGUGUUAAAAACAGGAUUUUCUCUGCACAAGCUCUUUUUUUGCCUGCUGCCACCCACAUAAGAUGUGUCUUGCUCCUUUUUGCCAUGAUUGUGAGUCCUCCCCAGCCAUGUGGAACUGUAUGUCCAAUAAACCUUUUUCUUUUGUAA